UACGAAAGGGGCUAUCGUUGUUCGGAAUUACUGGGCGUAAAGCGCACGUAGGCGGCCAUGUAAGUUGGGGGUGAAAUCCCGGGGCUCAACCCCGGAACUGCCUUCAAAACUACAUAGCUAGGGGAUGUGAGAGGAUAGUGGAAUUCCGAGUGUAGAGGUGAAAUUCGUAGAUAUUCGGAAGAACACCGGUGGCGAAGGCGACUGUCUGGCACAUUUCUGACGCUGAGGUGCGAAAUCGUGGGGAGCAAACAGG
RNAcentral lists this ribosomal RNA (253 nucleotides) under uncultured bacterium. RNAcentral describes it as "partial 16S ribosomal RNA". It matches the Rfam family "Bacterial small subunit ribosomal RNA", at positions 524 to 776 of the family's 1533-position model. The record is from RNAcentral.